Molecule: long non-coding RNA, 912 nt
Filed under: Citrus x clementina
Lineage: Eukaryota; Viridiplantae; Streptophyta; Magnoliopsida; Sapindales; Rutaceae
Description: Citrus clementina (C. clementina) long non-coding RNA (CCLE_LNC006179)
Source: RNAcentral
UACCACGGGACCAGCGGUCCGGGGGCAUGGGGAUGGGGGGGUAGCCGCGCGGCAGUUUGAACGGCGAAAAAUGGGAAAGAUCGGGGGCCGCUUAGUAGGCUUUGCCGGUUUCGGCCGUAACUCAUGAUCCGGGCCUCCGAUUCCGUUUCCGUUUGGUCCCACGGGACCAGCGGUCCGGGGGCAUCGGGACGGGGGGGUAGCCGUGCGGCGGUUUGAUCGCCGAAAAAUGGGUAAGAUCAGGGCCGUUUGGCCCGUUUUGCCGGUUUCGGCCCCCCGGGGGGCGGUUCAUGCCCCGGGGGGGACAGCGGGGCGGGAUCGGCACACGGCGGGUGAGGUGGUCGGGUUCGUGCGGGUGCGGUCGGCGGCGGGGGCGGCCGGGGGGCUAUAGCGCACGGUCUCGGGGGCCGCUAAGAAGGGGCCGUAACUCAUGAUCGGGGCCCCCGAUUCCGUUUCCGUUUCGUACCACGGGACCAGCGGUCCGGGGGCAUCGGGAUGGGGGGGUAGCCGCGCGGCAGUUUGAACGGCGAAAAAUGGGCAAGAUCGGGGGCCGCUUAGUAGGCUUUGCCGGUUUCGGCCGUAACUCAUGAUCCGGGCCUCCGAUUCCGUUUCCGUUUGGUCCCACGGGUCCAGCGGUCCGGGGGCAUCGGGACGGGGGGGUAGCCGUGCGGCGGUUUGAUCGCCGAAAAAUGGGUAAGAUCGGGGCCGUUUGGCCCGUUUUGCCGGUUUCGGCCCCCCGGGGGGCGGUUCAUGCCCCGGGGGGGACAGCGGGGCGGGAUCGGCACACGGCGGGUGAGGUGGUCGGGUUCGGGCGGGUGCGGUCGGCGGCGGAGGCGCCCGGGGGGCUAUAGCGCACGGCCUCGGGGGCCGCAAAGAAGGGGCCGUAACUCAAGAUCGGGGCCCCCGAUUCCGUUU